GGGCCGCUAGCUCAAUUGGCAGAGCAACGGGCUUUUAACCCGGAGGUCGAGGGUUCGAUCCCCUCGCGGCCCA
This 73-nucleotide transfer RNA is filed under the name Actinomycetota bacterium. RNAcentral's name for it is "Actinobacteria bacterium (freshwater metagenome) tRNA-Lys". It matches the Rfam family "tRNA". From Rfam's summary of the family: Transfer RNA (tRNA) molecules are approximately 80 nucleotides in length. Their secondary structure includes four short double-helical elements and three loops (D, anti-codon, and T loops). Further hydrogen bonds mediate the characteristic L-shaped molecular structure. tRNAs have two regions of fundamental functional importance: the anti-codon, which is responsible for specific mRNA codon recognition, and the 3' end, to which the tRNAs corresponding amino acid is attached (by aminoacyl-tRNA synthetases). tRNAs cope with the degeneracy of the genetic code in two manners: having more than one tRNA (with a specific anti-codon) for a particular amino acid; and 'wobble' base-pairing, i.e. permitting non-standard base-pairing at the 3rd anti-codon position. The record is from RNAcentral. Lineage: Bacteria; Bacillati; Actinomycetota.